CGAAGCACUUUGCUUAGAUUCUUCGGAUGAAGAGGAUUGUGACUGAGUGGCGGACGGGUGAGUAACGCGUGGGUAACCUGCCUCAUACAGGGGGAUAACAGUUGGAAACGACUGCUAAUACCGCAUAAGCGCACAGGAUUGCAUGAUCCAGUGUGAAAAACUCCGGUGGUAUGAGAUGGACCCGCGUCUGAUUAGCCAGUUGGCGGGGUAACGGCCCACCAAAGCGACGAUCAGUAGCCGACCUGAGAGGGUGACCGGCCACAUUGGGACUGAGACACGGCCCAAACUCCUACGGGAGGCAGCAGUGGGGAAUAUUGCACAAUGGGGGAAACCCUGAUGCAGCGACGCCGCGUGAGCGAAGAAGUAUUUCGGUAUGUAAAGCUCUAUCAGCAGGGAAGAAGAAUGACGGUACCUGACUAAGAAGCACCGGCUAAAUACGUGCCAGCAGCCGCGGUAAUACGUAUGGUGCAAGCGUUAUCCGGAUUUACUGGGUGUAAAGGGAGCGCAGGCGGUACGGCAAGUCUGAUGUGAAAUCCCGGGGCUCAACCCCGGUACUGCAUUGGAAACUGUCGGACUAGAGUGUCGGAGGGGUAAGUGGAAUUCCUAGUGUAGCGGUGAAAUGCGUAGAUAUUAGGAGGAACACCAGUGGCGAAGGCGGCUUACUGGACGAUUACUGA
RNAcentral lists this ribosomal RNA (677 nucleotides) under uncultured Lachnospiraceae bacterium. Its description in RNAcentral is "bacterial SSU rRNA". It matches the Rfam family "Bacterial small subunit ribosomal RNA", at positions 67 to 743 of the family's 1533-position model. Lineage: Bacteria; Bacillati; Bacillota; Clostridia; Lachnospirales; Lachnospiraceae. The record is from RNAcentral.